Molecule: ribosomal RNA, 527 nt
Filed under: uncultured bacterium
Lineage: Bacteria
Description: bacterial SSU rRNA
Rfam family: Bacterial small subunit ribosomal RNA
Source: RNAcentral
ACAUCCAGAGAAUUUAGCAGAGAUGCUUUAGUGCCUUCGGGAACUCUGAGACAGGUGCUGCAUGGCUGUCGUCAGCUCGUGUUGUGAAAUGUUGGGUUAAGUCCCGCAACGAGCGCAACCCUUAUCCUUUGUUGCCAGCACGUAAUGGUGGGAAACUCAAAGGAGACUGCCGGUGAUAAACCGGAGGAAGGUGGGGAUGACGUCAAGUCAUCAUGGCCCUUACGAGUAGGGCUACACACGUGCUACAAUGGCGCAUACAAAGAGAAGCGACCUCGCGAGAGCAAGCGGACCUCAUAAAGUGCGUCGUAGUCCGGAUUGGAGUCUGCAACUCGACUCCAUGAAGUCGGAAUCGCUAGUAAUCGUAAAUCAGAAUGUUACGGUGAAUACGUUCCCGGGCCUUGUACACACCGCCCGUCACACCAUGGGAGUGGGUUGCAAAAGAAGUAGAUAGCUUAACCUUCGGGAGGGCGUUUACCACUUUGUGAUUCAUGACUGGGGUGAAGUCGUAACAAGGUAGGCGUAGUGCU